AGCCCUAGCCAUUACACUGGCUACAAGUGUUCCUGACCUUGUUCAUAGUAGGGUGAUUGAUCUAAAGCUACAACCCAAACCAAUACCGCAACCUGAACCAAAGCCUGCACCACAACCAGACCCAAAGCCAGAACCCAAGCCAACACCGCAGCCUGACCCAAAACCCACACCACAACCAGACCCAAAGCCAGAACCCAAGCCGGCACCACAGCCUGAACCAAAGCCCGCACCACAACCAGAUCCAAAGCCAGAACCUAAACCGACACCGCAACCAAAACCAAAACCUACACCACAACCAGACCCACAACCAGAACCAAAACCCACACCACAACCAGACCCAAAACCGGAACCUAAACCCACACCACAACCAGAUCCAAAGCCCGAGCCAAAACCAACACCACAGCCACCCUCCUCGCAACCUGAACCAAAGCCCGAGCCUGAGCCAAGCCCCAAACCUACGCCAGAACCUAAACCUCAGCUGGAGCCUCAACCAAGCCCAAAACCCCAACCUGAACCAUCCAAGCCAGAGC
This 530-nucleotide long non-coding RNA is filed under the name Sorghum bicolor (sorghum). Its description in RNAcentral is "long non-coding RNA (SBIC_LNC013315)". The record is from RNAcentral. Lineage: Eukaryota; Viridiplantae; Streptophyta; Magnoliopsida; Poales; Poaceae.